This is a long non-coding RNA of Balaenoptera acutorostrata (minke whale), 799 nucleotides long. RefSeq lists it as uncharacterized. The transcript has 4 exons. NCBI's taxonomy places the organism in Eukaryota, Metazoa, Chordata, Mammalia, Artiodactyla, Balaenopteridae. The record is from RefSeq and is a predicted model, not a curated record.
CCGGGGCAAGACCCGUGAGAAGGCGGCGAGCUGCCCUUUCGUUUCUCCCGACCCGUUUCACUAUUGCAGAAGUGCGGCAAAGGGCCGGCUGAGCGCGGUGCAGCGCCCGGAGCCCGAAAUAGCGCGGAGCCUAGCGGCCAGGAUGACGCGGGAGCCGCCGGGGUCUGAGUCACCCGGCCCCGAGCGGCGGCCCCCGGAUGCGGGACAGUGGAGGCGCUGGACCCGACCACGCCCCAUCCCGGGCACCUCUUCUGCUGGGGCGUCCCAAGUUUCCACGGAGCACUGUGGAUGGAUAUGCAGCAAAAGGAGGAUCUGCAGCACAAGAGACUGAGGUCCCAUGGCCCCAGAGGUGUUCAGUUCCCAGGAUUCUGUCUCUAGGCCCUACAAAACCUAAAGUGUUCAAUGCAACCUGCAAAAUAUCACAACAGACUGAGCACCCAAGCAGAGGUGAAGACCCAGUUAUCUUCUGUUGAGCCAAACAUUAAAGUGGGGGACUUCCCUGGUGGCGCAGUGGUUAAGAAUCCGCCUGGCAAUGCAGGGGACACGGGUUCGAGCCCUGGUCCGGGAAGAUUCCACAUGCCAGGCAGCAACUAAGCCCGUGUGCCACAACUACUGAGCCCACAUGCCACAACUACUGAAGCCCGUGCACCUAGAGCCCGUGCUCCACAACGAGAAGCCACUGCAAUGAGAAGCCCGCGCACCACAACGAAGAGUAGCCCCCACUCACUGCAACUAGAGAAAGCUCACACACAGCAACAAAGAUCCAAUGCAGCCAAAAAAUAAAUUAAUUUUUUAAAAA